This 468-nucleotide ribosomal RNA is filed under the name uncultured bacterium. RNAcentral's name for it is "partial 16S ribosomal RNA". It matches the Rfam family "Bacterial small subunit ribosomal RNA", at positions 28 to 507 of the family's 1533-position model. The record is from RNAcentral.
GAUGAACGCUGGCGGCGUGCUUAACACAUGCAAGUCGAACGGUAAGGCCCUACCUUUCUCUGCUGGUUCAGUGGCGAACGGGUGAGUAACACGUGAGUAAUCUGCCCCUGACUUUGGGAUAAGCUCUGGAAACUGCGGCUAAUACUGGAUACGAGCUCCUACGGCAUCGUCAGCAUCGGAAAAUUAUGGCGGUUGGGGAUGGGCUCGCGGCCUAUCAGCUUGUUGGUGGGGUAGUGGCUUACCAAGGCUUUGACGGGUAGCCGGCCUGAGAGGGUGACCGGCCACAGUGGGACUGAGAUACGGCCCAGACUCCUACGGGAGGCAGCAGUGGGGAAUAUUGCACAAUGGGCGGAAGCCUGAUGCAGCAACGCCGCGUGCGGGAUGACGGCCUUCGGGUUGUAAACCGCUUUCGCCUGGGACGAAGCGUGAGUGACGGUAAUUGGUAAAGAAGCACCGGCUAACUACGUG